RNAcentral lists this ribosomal RNA (1347 nucleotides) under Salmonella enterica subsp. enterica serovar Takoradi. RNAcentral's name for it is "partial 23S ribosomal RNA". It matches the Rfam family "Bacterial large subunit ribosomal RNA", at positions 1 to 1378 of the family's 2925-position model. The record is from RNAcentral. Lineage: Bacteria; Pseudomonadati; Pseudomonadota; Gammaproteobacteria; Enterobacterales; Enterobacteriaceae.
GGGUUGUGAGGUUAAGCGACUAAGCGUACACGGUGGAUGCCCUGGCAGUCAGAGGCGAUGAAGGGCGUGCUAAUCUGCGAUAAGCGCCGGUAAGGUGAUAUGAACCGUUAUAACCGGCGAUACCCGAAUGGGGAAACCCAGUGUGAUUCGUCACACUAUCAUUAACUGAAUCCAUAGGUUAAUGAGGCGAACCGGGGGAACUGAAACAUCUAAGUACCCCGAGGAAAAGAAAUCAACCGAGAUUCCCCCAGUAGCGGCGAGCGAACGGGGAGGAGCCCAGAGCCUGAAUCAGCAUGUGUGUUAGUGGAAGCGUCUGGAAAGGCGCGCGAUACAGGGUGACAGCCCCGUACACAAAAGCGCAUGUGCUGUGAGCUCGAUGAGUAGGGCGGGACACGUGGUAUCCUGUCUGAAUAUGGGGGGACCAUCCUCCAAGGCUAAAUACUCCUGACUGACCGAUAGUGAACCAGUACCGUGAGGGAAAGGCGAAAAGAACCCCGGCGAGGGGAGUGAAAAAGAACCUGAAACCGUGUACGUACAAGCAGUGGGAGCACCCUUUGGGGUGUGACUGCGUACCUUUUGUAUAAUGGGUCAGCGACUUAUAUUCUGUAGCAAGGUUAACCGAAUAGGGGAGCCGGAGGGAAACCGAGUCUUAACCGGGCGUUAAGUUGCAGGGUAUAGACCCGAAACCCGGUGAUCUAGCCAUGGGCAGGUUGAAGGUUGGGUAACACUAACUGGAGGACCGAACCGACUAAUGUUGAAAAAUUAGCGGAUGACCUGUGGCUGGGGGUGAAAGGCCAAUCAAACCGGGAGAUAGCUGGUUCUCCCCGAAAGCUAUUUAGGUAGCGCCUCGUGAAUUCAUCUCCGGGGGUAGAGCACUGUUUCGGCUAGGGGGCCAUCCCGGCUUACCAACCCGAUGCAAACUGCGAAUACCGGAGAAUGUUAUCACGGGAGACACACGGCGGGUGCUAACGUCCGUCGUGAAGAGGGAAACAACCCAGACCGCCAGCUAAGGUCCCAAAGUCAUGGUUAAGUGGGAAACGAUGUGGGAAGGCCCAGACAGCCAGGAUGUUGGCUUAGAAGCAGCCAUCAUUUAAAGAAAGCGUAAUAGCUCACUGGUCGAGUCGGCCUGCGCGGAAGAUGUAACGGGGCUAAACCAUGCACCGAAGCUGCGGCAGCGACGCUUAUGCGUUGUUGGGUAGGGGAGCGUUCUGUAAGCCUGCGAAGGUGGCCUGUGAGGGUUGCUGGAGGUAUCAGAAGUGCGAAUGCUGACAUAAGUAACGAUAAAGCGGGUGAAAAGCCCGCUCGCCGGAAGACCAAGGGUUCCUGUCCAACGUUAAUCGGGGCAGG